GCCUGUUUAUUUAGAAGGGGGGAAAGAAAAAAAAAGUGCGCGUGUGUAGGUGAUUUCACGGCGAGGAUUAAAGAGGGUCAGGGCGGCGCUAAAGAACGGCUCUAGAGCCACGGGUUGCUAACCCCCGCCUUAGUGUAUCGACAAACUGGAAGAUGCGGGCAGCUGUUCAAAGUACCCUACAGCUGUGACAAAUAAUUGAAGGAUGGGCAGAGUUGUGGACACACAGACUUUUGUGAUUUUGGACUAAAUCGCAAACUGGACAACAUCUUGGAGAAGUAUGUCUGCUCUGCAUGGCAAAGUUACGAUGAAUUUAAGAACCAGAAAACAGAUAAUUAGAGUGAAAAGUCUACAUUUAUUUUUGCUCACUCAAAGACAAACAUUCUCAUCUGGUUUGUUUCCCUGGCUGUAACGACGCGGCAAGGUAGUUGCUUCGAGAUUCACCCCCCCAGGACAGUGCAACAAACACAAAACAAAUUCCUUCCCUGUCUCUCAUGUUGACGUUGUUGGACUGACUGCGAGCACCAAAGUCGAGGAACGAAGCCACUCUUCAGGCAAAAUACAUCCACAGAAAAUACACGCCACACACCCGUACCUCGCCACCCACAUCCCACGCCUUCGUCGCUUCACUCCACGUGGUAUGAAGGACAAUGGAGCAGAGCCCCGAGUGGCAGCUUCGGGCCGGAUGCCCACGCCUCCCCUCUCAUUGCAAGUCUGAAGUUGUAUGUCAUAAUAUAUAGAGUUGUGGUCAAAAGUUUACAUAUACUUGUAAAGAAGGAGGAAAGUUCUGUGGUCAGAUGAAACAAACAUUGAGCUGUUUGGCCACAAUACCCAGCAAUAUGUUUGGAGGAGAAAAGGUGAGGCCUUUAAUCCCAGGAACACCACGCCUACCGUCAAGCAUAGUGGUGGUUGUAUUAUGCUCUGGGCCUGUUUUGCUGCCAAUGGAACUGGUGCUUUACAGAGAGUAAAUGGGACAAUGAAAAAGGAGGAUUACCUCCAAAUUCUUCAGGACAACUUAAAAUCAUCAGCCCGGAGGUUGGGUCUUGGGCGCAGUUGGGUGUUCCAACAGGACAAU
Molecule: long non-coding RNA, 1072 nt
Organism: Entelurus aequoreus (snake pipefish)
Lineage: Eukaryota; Metazoa; Chordata; Actinopteri; Syngnathiformes; Syngnathidae
Exons: 3
Source: RefSeq, a predicted model, not a curated record